UUGAGGAGGUGGCAGUGAGAUUCCAAGAUUUGUGGGGAGUUGAGGCGUUGAUGGUGAGAAUGGGACUGGAUUUUGAAUUGCUGGUGCGGUAGGGCUGGGGACGAAAGGGUUUGGCAAAUUGGAUUGGCAUUGGCAUAUGCAUGUGCAAUAUCUACCAUUUGAACCUCGCCCCAUCUGAACCCAUCUUACCUCAUAUGGCCACCCAGAACAAUAAGCAGAACAGCCACAAUCUGCAUUUGUGGCUUCUGAACUACCACUAACUUGUGCUACUUGUGACACAUGAAUUUUAAAGGGAAAGUAUCUCUUCUUCCUUUGAUUAUGUAAUGGGUGGGA
RNAcentral lists this unclassified non-coding RNA (333 nucleotides) under Hevea brasiliensis (rubber tree). Lineage: Eukaryota; Viridiplantae; Streptophyta; Magnoliopsida; Malpighiales; Euphorbiaceae. The record is from RNAcentral.